CCCUUGUCCUUAGUUACCAGCACGUUAUGGUGGGCACUCUAAGGAGACUGCCGGUGACAAACCGGAGGAAGGUGGGGAUGACGUCAAGUCAUCAUGGCCCUUACGGCCUGGGCUACACACGUGCUACAAUGGUCGGUACAGAGGGUUGCCAAGCCGCGAGGUGGAGCUAAUCCCACAAAACCGAUCGUAGUCCGGAUCGCAGUCUGCAACUCGACUGCGUGAAGUCGGAAUCGCUAGUAAUCGCGAAUCAGAAUGUCGCGGUGAAUACGUU
Molecule: ribosomal RNA, 271 nt
Filed under: Pseudomonas proteolytica
Lineage: Bacteria; Pseudomonadati; Pseudomonadota; Gammaproteobacteria; Pseudomonadales; Pseudomonadaceae
Description: partial 16S ribosomal RNA
Rfam family: Bacterial small subunit ribosomal RNA
Source: RNAcentral